GGCCACAGCCAUGUCACCCUGCAGCCCGUGACCAGUUACUUACUGAAGCUAAGCAGGGCUGAGCCUGGUCAGUACCUGGAUGGGAGAUCACAUGAGAAAACUAGGUUGCCCUGGAAG
Ribosomal RNA from Danio rerio (zebrafish), 117 nucleotides. The record is from Ensembl. NCBI's taxonomy places the organism in Eukaryota, Metazoa, Chordata, Actinopteri, Cypriniformes, Danionidae.